UGCCAGCAGCCGCGGUAAUACGGAGGGUCCAAGCGUUAUCCGGAAUCAUUGGGUUUAAAGGGUUCGCAGGCGGCCUAUUAAGUCAGUGGUGAAAUCUCUCGGCUCAACCGAGAAACUGCCAUUGAUACUGAUAGGCUUGAAUAUAGUUGGAGUAGGCGGAAUGUGUAGUGUAGCGGUGAAAUGCUUAGAUAUUACACAGAACACCGAUAGCGAAGGCAGCUUACUAAACUGAUACUGACGCUGAGGCGCGAAAGCGUGGGGAGCAAACAGGAUUAGAUA
Molecule: ribosomal RNA, 279 nt
Filed under: uncultured bacterium
Lineage: Bacteria
Description: partial 16S ribosomal RNA
Rfam family: Bacterial small subunit ribosomal RNA
Source: RNAcentral